This 297-nucleotide ribosomal RNA is filed under the name uncultured bacterium. RNAcentral's name for it is "partial 16S ribosomal RNA". It matches the Rfam family "Bacterial small subunit ribosomal RNA", at positions 28 to 324 of the family's 1533-position model. The record is from RNAcentral.
GACGAACGCUGGCGGCGUGCUUAACACAUGCAAGUCGAGCGGUAAGGCCCUUUCGGGGUACACGGAGCGGCGAACGGUGAGUAACACGUGGGUGACCUGCCCUUAGCUCUGGGAUAAGCCUGGGAACUGGGGUCUAAUACCGGGAUAUGACUCCAUGACGCAGUGUUGGUGGGGUGGAAAGGCCUUGUGCGGCUAGGGAUGGGCCCGCGGCCUAUCAGCUUGUUGGUGGGGUGAUGGCCACCAAGGCGACGACGGGUAGCCGGCCUGAGAAGGCGACCGGCCACACUGGGACUGAGA